CUCAGCUCUUAAUAAAGCUGGAAAAGGGUGGGAUUUUAAGGAGGAUCUGGCGCUGUUCUACCGCUGUCAGGGAGCUUAGGCAGGUUAAUCACAAGAGCAGCUGGGCAUCGCCUGGCCUUCACCCAUCAAGACAUCCACUCCUCACCCCACCACUGCGGGCUGCCAGGGAACUUCUUUUAUCCAUCUUUGAUGGGAGGAAACUGAGGCCCAGUCACACAGCUCCGAAUUGGCAAAGGUUUUCUCUGAAUCAGAGAAGGCCAGCACGUGCCAAUUUAGUAAUCAGAAAAAAAAGUGCGAAGGAGUGAAUCACCGGGCCUGGUGUGAGGAAGUCCUGACCACAAAGCAAAUUUGGAGAGACAGCAGUGAGCAACAGCUGGAAGCGAGACUGAGAUCGAAUGCGGGUUGCGGUGACAUAGACUCCGGGAGCUGGUGAUGGACAGGGAGGCCUGGUGUGCUGUGGUCCAUGGAGUCGCAAAGAGUUGGACAUGACUGAGCGACCGAACUGAUGAGACAGACAUAAAACAGCUUGCUAAAACUAGCUGGG
Long non-coding RNA from Dama dama (fallow deer), 544 nucleotides. RefSeq lists it as uncharacterized. NCBI's taxonomy places the organism in Eukaryota, Metazoa, Chordata, Mammalia, Artiodactyla, Cervidae. The record is from RefSeq and is a predicted model, not a curated record. The transcript is spliced from 4 exons.